This 462-nucleotide ribosomal RNA is filed under the name Hyphopichia burtonii. RNAcentral describes it as "eukaryotic LSU rRNA". The stretch from base 113 to 266 matches the Rfam family "5.8S ribosomal RNA". Lineage: Eukaryota; Fungi; Ascomycota; Pichiomycetes; Serinales; Debaryomycetaceae. The record is from RNAcentral.
UCCGUAGGUGAACCUGCGGAAGGAUCAUUAAAAAUUUAAUUGUUUACACGUUUACGUUUAACAUAUACAACUAACCAACUUAAUUAUGUCAACAACAACAACCAAAAAUCAAAACUUUCAACAACGGAUCUCUUGGUUCUCGCAUCGAUGAAGAACGCAGCGAAAUGCGAUAAGUAAUAUGAAUUGCAGAUUUUCGUGAAUCAUCGAAUCUUUGAACGCACAUUGCACCUUGUGGUAUUCCACAAGGUAUGCCUGUUUGAGCGUCAUUUCUCCCUCAACCCCCGCGGGUUGGCGUUGAAUGGCACGAGCUCUUAGUCAGUCCAUUCGAAAAGUAUUUUUCUUGUGUUGUUAUUUUCUAAUUUAGUAGUGACAACCACACUAAAAACACAUUUUCCUCAAAUCAGGUAGGACUACCCGCUGAACUUAAGCAUAUCAAUAAGCGGAGGAUAAGCUGGCCACCGG